GGACGAACGCUGGCGGCGUGCUUAACACAUGCAAGUCGAACGGAAAGGCCCUGCUUGCAGGGUGCUCGAGUGGCGAACGGGUGAGUAACACGUGGGUGAUCUGCCCCUUACUUUGGGAUAAGCCUGGGAAACUGGGUCUAAUACUGGAUAGGACCAUGCUGUAGGUGGUGUGGUGGAAAGAUUAGUUUCGGUAAGGGAUGAGCUCGCGGCCUAUCAGCUUGUUGGUGGGGUAAUGGCCUACCAAGGCGUCGACGGGUAGCCGGCCUGAGAGGGUGGACGGCCACAUUGGGACUGAGAUACGGCCCAGACUCCUACGGGAGGCAGCAGUGGGGAAUAUUGCACAAUGGGCGCAAGCCUGAUGCAGCGACGCCGCGGGGGGGAUGACGGCCUUCGGGUUGUAAACUCCUUUCAGCCAUGACGAAGCCCUUGUGGUGACGGUAGUGGUAGAAGAAGCACCGGCUAACUACGUG
This 470-nucleotide ribosomal RNA is filed under the name uncultured bacterium. Its description in RNAcentral is "partial 16S ribosomal RNA". It matches the Rfam family "Bacterial small subunit ribosomal RNA", at positions 27 to 507 of the family's 1533-position model. The record is from RNAcentral.